Molecule: ribosomal RNA, 497 nt
Filed under: uncultured bacterium
Lineage: Bacteria
Description: partial 16S ribosomal RNA
Rfam family: Bacterial small subunit ribosomal RNA
Source: RNAcentral
GAUGAACGCUGGCGGCGUGCCUAAUACAUGCAAGUCGAGCGAACAGACGAGGAGCUUGCUCCUCUGACGUUAGCGGCGGACGGGUGAGUAACACGUGGAUCACCUACCUAUAAGACUGGGAUAACUUCGGGAAACCGGAGCUAAUACCGGAUAAUAUAUUGAACCGCAUGGUUCAAUAGUGAAAGACGGUUUUGCUGUCACUUAUAGAUGGAUCCGCGCCGCAUUAGCUAGUUGGUAAGGUAACGGCUUACCAAGGCAACGAUGCGUAGCCGACCUGAGAGGGUGAUCGGCCACACUGGAACUGAGACACGGUCCAGACUCCUACGGGAGGCAGCAGUAGGGAAUCUUCCGCAAUGGGCGAAAGCCUGACGGAGCAACGCCGCGUGAGUGAUGAAGGUCUUCGGAUCGUAAAACUCUGUUAUUAGGGAAGAACAAAUGUGUAAGUAACUAUGCACGUCUUGACGGUACCUAAUCAGAAAGCAACGGCUAACUACGUG